Non-coding RNA from Potamilus streckersoni, 73 nucleotides. The record is from the annotation of a GenBank genome assembly. NCBI's taxonomy places the organism in Eukaryota, Metazoa, Mollusca, Bivalvia, Unionida, Unionidae.
GCUCUGGUGGCCUAGUGCUUAGAGCAUCUACCUCAGAUGUGGGAGGUUGCGGGAUCGAGCCCCGGCCAAGUCA